CGAGGGCUGCGGAAGCCACUUCCGCGCAGAGGUUGGGAGUCCCAGCGUGCGUAGGGAACCCCUCCUCCGCCGCCAGCAGCCCGGCACCCUUCGCCCUGGGCAGAGCUAGCACUUUGCAGACGCUCCCUAGACAGUUUCUAGGCUCCCCUAAGUCCCUCCUCCAGACUCCUCCGGUUCCUCGUACCCUAACCUAGAACAGCCCGGAGCAGCACCGAGGAAGGGGUGUCCUCUGACCCUUUCCCCAGGGUUGAGCCUGUGGGAGGUUCACUGUCGUAAAGUAGCUCCCGUUACCCGGAACCCAGCUAGGAGGCCCUGUGCUAGAAGUGGAAAAGAGGUAAAAGUCCCAAACCAAAAGGAUGUCAAGGAGCUCUCACGGGAAGGGAUGGGGGCGGGGCUAAAUAAACAAGAACAGUGACUGGAUGAGGCCGGACGCCUGACCCCGUGAGUUCAGGGAGAGGGCCGCUGAGCUCAGGACUCGGGGGUCAGUGAGUGUGCCCAGAGUGCAUGGUUCUCAGAAGCUGUGGAAUGAGCUGGGGACCCAGAAGGAUGGGAAGGCAGAGCGUCUGAAGACUUAAGUGUAGGAUUUGGAAUGGGCGCUGAGAAGGUAAACUUGGCUUAGGUGCACCCUGGCGGGGAAUGGCGUACGGCAGCUCACAACAGCCCGGGACUCCAGCUCCAGGGGACUCGGCACUCGUCUAACCUCCAGAAGCAUCCUGACGCUCGCGGCAUACACUAACACCCAUAUGUAUGCAUUGUGGCACACACCUUACCAUGUCAACUCUGGAAGCAGAAGCAGGCGGAUGCUACACAUUCGAGGCAAGCGAGCUUGGUCCUAGUAGCAAGUUCCAGGCCAGCAAAAUCCACACAGUGAGACUCUACCUCAAAAUAAUAAUCAUAAUAGUGAAAAUAAAUCUUGGGGCCAGUGAGAUGGCUCAGUCGGUAAAGGUACCAGCCACCACUCCAGAGGACAGAACCAAGUCCUUGGGCCCCACCCAUUUGGACUCCCUGACUCCACACAUGUAUUGUGGCACAUUGGUGCUCACACAAAGAAAUAUAGUGAUAUUUAAAACA
This is a long non-coding RNA of Mesocricetus auratus (golden hamster), 1071 nucleotides long. RefSeq lists it as uncharacterized. Lineage: Eukaryota; Metazoa; Chordata; Mammalia; Rodentia; Cricetidae. The transcript has 2 exons. The record is from RefSeq and is a predicted model, not a curated record.